UCCACGCCGUAAACGAUGUCAACUAGGUGUUGGGGCGGUUAAUCGUCUCAUUGCCGGAGCUAACGCAUUAAGUUGACCGCCUGGGGAGUACGGUCGCAAGAUUAAAACUCAAAGGAAUUGACGGGGGCCCGCACAAGCGGUGGAGUAUGUGGUUUAAUUCGACACAACGCGCAGAACCUUACCUGGUCUUGACAUCCCGAGAAUCUUAAGGAAACUUGAGAGUGCCUCUUUGA
This 233-nucleotide ribosomal RNA is filed under the name uncultured bacterium. RNAcentral describes it as "partial 16S ribosomal RNA". It matches the Rfam family "Bacterial small subunit ribosomal RNA", at positions 794 to 1025 of the family's 1533-position model. The record is from RNAcentral.